Molecule: ribosomal RNA, 560 nt
Filed under: Salmonella sp.
Lineage: Bacteria; Pseudomonadati; Pseudomonadota; Gammaproteobacteria; Enterobacterales; Enterobacteriaceae
Description: bacterial SSU rRNA
Rfam family: Bacterial small subunit ribosomal RNA
Source: RNAcentral
AAACGAUGUCGACUUGGAGGCUGUGCCCUUGAGGCGUGGCUUCCGGAGCUAACGCGUUAAGUCGACCGCCUGGGGAGUACGGCCGCAAGGUUAAAACUCAAAUGAAUUGACGGGGGCCCGCACAAGCGGUGGAGCAUGUGGUUUAAUUCGAUGCAACGCGAAGAACCUUACCUGGUCUUGACAUCCACAGAACUUUCCAGAGAUGGAUUGGUGCCUUCGGGAACUGUGAGACAGGUGCUGCAUGGCUGUCGUCAGCUCGUGUUGUGAAAUGUUGGGUUAAGUCCCGCAACGAGCGCAACCCUUAUCCUUCGUUGCCAGCGGUCCGGCCGGGAGCUCAAAGGAGACUGCCAGUGAUAAACUGGAGGAAGGUGGGGAUGACGUCAAGUCAUCAUGGCCCUUACGACCAGGGCUACACACGUGCUACAAUGGCGCAUACAAAGAGAAGCGACCUCGCGAGAGCAAGCGGACCUCAUAAAGUGCGUCGUAGUCCGGAUUGGAGUCUGCAACUCGACUCCAUGAAGUCGGAAUCGCUAGUAAUCGUGGAUCAGAAUGCCACGGUG